This 253-nucleotide ribosomal RNA is filed under the name uncultured bacterium. RNAcentral describes it as "partial 16S ribosomal RNA". It matches the Rfam family "Bacterial small subunit ribosomal RNA", at positions 524 to 776 of the family's 1533-position model. The record is from RNAcentral.
UACGGAGGGUGCAAGCGUUAUCCGGAUUCACUGGGUUUAAAGGGUGCGUAGGCGGGUAAGUAAGUCCGUGGUGAAAUCUCUGAGCUUAACUCAGAAACUGCCGUGGAUACUAUUUGCCUUGAAUAUUGUGGAGGUGAGCGGAAUAUGUCCUGUAGCGGUGAAAUGCUUAGAUAUGACAUAGAACACCAAUUACGAAGGCAGCUCACUACACAAUCAUUGACGCUGAGGCACGAAAGCGUGGGGAUCAAACAGG